Non-coding RNA from Microcebus murinus (gray mouse lemur), 334 nucleotides. NCBI's taxonomy places the organism in Eukaryota, Metazoa, Chordata, Mammalia, Primates, Cheirogaleidae. The record is from RefSeq and is a predicted model, not a curated record.
UCCACCUGGGGGGCACACCUGCCACCUCACACCUGUCCGCUUCGCUGGGGGGGGAGUUUGGCUGGGAGGAGGCGAAGCGACUGCCCCACCCGACGCAGGAGCCCGGGUGUGAGAGAACAGAAGGACAGCUGUGCGGAGGCCAGAGACACGUCACCAGUUGCCAUUCACGGACCCUGGAUGAGGAAGGGGCAAGAGACCAACGAUCCAGCCAAGUCCCAAAGCCACCGCAGGGGCCAGUACCCACCUGUUCCUAUCCUCCACACCUGCGUCUGCAUCUUAGUGACAGAAUUUCUUGCUGCAUGUGUGCCCUUCCCUAUUAAGCGAAAGUUUCUUG